This 465-nucleotide ribosomal RNA is filed under the name uncultured bacterium. RNAcentral describes it as "partial 16S ribosomal RNA". It matches the Rfam family "Bacterial small subunit ribosomal RNA", at positions 28 to 507 of the family's 1533-position model. The record is from RNAcentral.
GACGAACGCUGGCGGCGUGCUUAACACAUGCAAGUCGAACGGAAAGGCCCUGCUUGCAGGGUACUCGAGUGGCGAACGGGUGAGUAACACGUGGGUGAUCUGCCCUGCACUUCGGGAUAAGCCUGGGAAACUGGGUCUAAUACCGGAUAGGAGCCAUUUUUAGUGUGAUGAUUGGAAAGUUUUUUCGGUGUAGGAUGAGCUCGCGGCCUAUCAGCUUGUUGGUGGGGUAAUGGCCUACCAAGGCGGCGACGGGUAGCCGGCCUGAGAGGGUGGACGGCCACAUUGGGACUGAGAUACGGCCCAGACUCCUACGGGAGGCAGCAGUGGGGAAUAUUGCACAAUGGGCGCAAGCCUGAUGCAGCGACGCCGCGUGGGGGAGGACGGCCUUCGGGUUGUAAACUCCUUUCGCUAGGGACGAAGCUUUUUGUGACGGUACCUAGAUAAGAAGCACCGGCUAACUACGUG